AACGAACGCUGGCGGCAUGCCUAACACAUGCAAGUCGAACGAGACCUUCGGGUCUAGUGGCGCACGGGUGCGUAACGCGUGGGAACCUGCCCUUAGGUUCGGAAUAACUCCCCGAAAGGGGUGCUAAUACCGGAUAAUGUCUUCGGACCAAAGAUUUAUCGCCUUUGGAUGGGCCCGCGUUGGAUUAGCUAGUUGGUAGGGUAAAAGCCUACCAAGGCGACGAUCCAUAGCUGGUCUGAGAGGAUGAUCAGCCACACUGGGACUGAGACACGGCCCAGACUCCUACGGGAGGCAGCAGUGGGGAAUAUUGGACAAUGGGCGAAAGCCUGAUCCAGCAAUGCCGCGUGAGUGAUGAAGGACUUAGGGUUGUAAAGCUCUUUUACCAGGGAUGAUAAUGACAGUACCGGGAGAAUAAGCUCCGGCUAACUCCGUG
This 433-nucleotide ribosomal RNA is filed under the name uncultured bacterium. RNAcentral describes it as "partial 16S ribosomal RNA". It matches the Rfam family "Bacterial small subunit ribosomal RNA", at positions 29 to 507 of the family's 1533-position model. The record is from RNAcentral.